This 7681-nucleotide long non-coding RNA is filed under the name Homo sapiens (human). RNAcentral's name for it is "HSALNT0186131". Lineage: Eukaryota; Metazoa; Chordata; Mammalia; Primates; Hominidae. The record is from RNAcentral.
UAAGGGAAGAUUAGUGAGUGGAUUCCAUUCAAAAGAGCUUGAUCUAAAUAAUCCCAAACUGAUAAAAUAGCACAUCAGGAUUUUAGUUCUCACUUUACAAAGUUUUAUUUCACAAAUAAAUUUAUAAAUGAUAUCUUUAUCCGGAAACAAACAUUGACAUUUUUGCUUGUAACUCACAUUAUUGGAAGACCAUGGAAAAAUAAAUGCACAGUUAAUAUACUGAAGAGUGCUAUUAAGUGGAAAGCAAUAAAUAUAAAAAGAUUGCAUACCAAAAAUUAUGUAUUAAAUAAAGAAAAUUUGAUUUUCAAAGUUAGAAUGUAUUUUUAAGGAUAUAUAUGCCAUGUUAUAUAAAUAUUUUAUAAUACAAUCACACACUCAACCUUAGAAACUUUGAUUCUCUUAUCAGUGCAACUUCUCUUUAAGUGAAAAUUUAUUUCUGGUUUCACUUUUACCAGCUGAAAAUGUAAUAUUAGUAUAUCCAGACAUGCAUCCACACUUAUUCCAUGCCAAAAGCAAAUUAUGAGAAAUUAAAAACAGCAGGGCAGCAUUCUGUUAUGUGACAUAAAGAAUGACAUUUCUCCUGGGUAUGUUUUUAAAAUAAAAUUUGAUGGAUGCUAAAGAAAUAUUUAGAAGAUUCUACUCGAGUAUAAUUAGAAAGGACUUAGGUGGUGAGUGAACCAGGGCCAGUGAAUGGAAGGGCAGAAUCCUGGUAAACAUUGGUUCAGUCCCACAGUUUCUAACACAGGGCUCAUGGAUCAACUUAUGUUGAAAUGUUUCACAUAUGGCAGACACAUACACGUCUGUAAUGUUUGUCGUUACAGGAUGACUUUGAUUUUGUAAUACAGUUUAUACAUAGCCAGGCUCUUGAGAACACUCAAAAUCUGUGCUAAUCAAAGCUUAGGUGGUUGCUUGAGCUGGAGCUAAACAUAAUCCUUAAAAAGGGGCUCCCUACACUGUGCUCCGCUUUUCCUCUUAGCCUCUUCCCCUCAACGAAAUGGUAGGAGUUCAGCUGACAACAGGGUAAACAGAUUAUUGUGUUAUUGCUGGCUGAUUGCCGGAGUUAUUUUGGAGCUUCAUAAUUCAUUUAAAGAGAUUUUUGACAUUUAUGAAAUGACUUCUAUAAUCAACUGACAGUGCAAUAUCCUAUAAUUGUUCAAUUAAAAAUGACUACUAGUGCAGUCAUUUAUUAGUAGAAUCAGAUAAUUGUCUUGCCACUAAAGAGUACUUCUCACUUUGCACAUCAAAUGAAAAUGUUUGAGUCUAAAUCUGUGACACAGCAGCCAAAGUCCUGGGGAUUUUCAAGUGCAUAUGUAAUUAUUACAGACCUCUGAAGUAAAUAUGGUUUAAUGUGAUAAUCUUAAAUGGAUUGUGUGUGAGCCUUACAAAAUACUUUUCUGUAUAAACCAGAGCAUCUGUCAGAAUGGAUAGGAGUUCAUUUCUAACCAUUAUGAAGUUCAUGAUAUUCUUUCCAACAUGUAGUUUAACAUGUGUAGUUAGAACACAGGACAGCAUGCCUUUCCCUUGAUUCUCAUUUAUCUUUUUUUCCCCCUUGCAGAUGAAACUGAUUACCAAGGUAAGGAGCCAGGAAUGAUUGCAUUGAUAAAUCAGUUUCAUAUGGAAUACUACCCUACUGGGGUCAGCACUCAGAAGCUCUGACUUCCAGAUACGUACACAGAUAGAAUGCAGAUCCACAAAAACAGAAACACUUUCAUACACAUGCGUGUGCAUGCACACACACACGCGCACAUAAAGCACAAAUUUCAAAUGCUGGAUUUCUCUGAAAUAAAACACUUUGACUCACAUUAUCACAAACCAUCUGUUAAGCUAAAUCAUAAAUCAGUCUUUGAUUAAAUAAUUAAAAAAAGAAACCCUUACCACACUGAACACAGAGAAGGCACAGAUCAUUUAAAUACCAAUAUAAAGAAAUAACUAAAUGGAGGAAACAGCAGCAGUCCCCUUACAGAUAAUGAUUUAUUUUUAUUUUAAAUUAGCAUUGUGCUUCUUUGGACAAACUGGCUAAAACUCAAAAUUUACAUUCAAAUAAUGAUAAUUAAGGAAAUUCAGAGCAGGCUCAACAGAUGGAACAUGUUACUUAAUUUGAGGUUGCUACAAAAUAGAAUUUAGUGGUGUCAUUUCAAAGUUGCAGCUUAAUUUUAAUUUUUAAAUAAAUAAUCUGAUUUAGUUGUUUUUUCUUUUUCCAUUUUGUUUGCAGGAAAAUGUUGAAAAAUUGCUGUCAGAUUCAAUCGCUAUCUCCCUCUUUCUUUCUAACCCAUCAGCAAGAAUAGGGCAUUUGAAUCACAGCUGCUCAGGGCUUUUUGUUUUUGUUUCUCUUCAAAAAAAUUUUUUUCAAGCCCGUUUUUCUUCUUCUUGUAUGGAUUUUAGAAAGAGUUUUGAUAAAGACAGUCCUGGCAGCUGGAUGAUAAAUAUUAUUUUCUUAACCUGCCUAGCUUUGUCAGCCACCUGCGACUGCAGCCUGCCACACGUUGGAAGCAGCUCAUUAACUUUCCCACAGCUUCCCAGGAGUUUUCCUUGUUUGCUUUCACCUUGGGUGUGUGCUGCCUUCUCACUGAACGGUUAACUAUCCGAGUAGGCCGAGUGGGCUUUGGCACCGCGAGCAGAGCACGCUUCAGGCAGCCUCCCUGCUAAGGCUCAAAAUCUCUCUUAAACACAUUAAGCAGCCCAUUUUGGAUUGAUAGUGCAGUAAUUAUUCUGCUUCACCCUAAAAACCAUCCUGGGGUAAUUGGCGCAGAGGAAAAUUACCCAGAGUCCUCCACCACCUGGUAGUUAAGGAACGAAUCCAGGGAAAGAUAAGUGAAGCAGGAAAAAAAAUCGGCACUUAUUUGAUUUUAAUCUCACCACUUUGCAAGCAUUUAAAUUGCCUUAAUCAGGUGGUUGGCUUCCAGCCUAGCUGGUAAUCUGUUAUCAAAUUUGAAACUAGAUUUUUUAAAAUGUCAGUGUAGGCUGAGAAUUGAAGUCUAUUAACAGUUAUGAGCCUCCCUCCUAAACUUCCAUAAUCUAUGUAUUAAUAAUACUUUUUACAAAGCUGUCAAAUAUUACUUUAUUACAACUCUACAUUAAUAAUAUAGAUGUAAAGGCAAGAUUUAAUUAUUUAUUUUUUAUUUUUAUUUUAAAAUUGAGGGAACACACAAUGCUAACAUUCCUAGCACUAAAAUCCAUUUUCUUAAAGCAAUAGCUUGAAUCUAUGGAAUAACCUUGAUAAAUGUAAUUGAAUUUUUCUAUGAUAAGAUUAACUAGUUGUAAUUGUGAAUGGGGAGGUCUGACCCACUCCAAAUGAGAUGUAUGACAAGCUGAAAAUAAUCAAUUUUUUUCUUUAUUUGAGCCCAGAUUUUUUAAAAUGGAAAGAGAAAAUCGGGGCCUUGUAGGAUGAAAUAUUUGUGUCUGAAAUGUUUUUAUAUACACCACUUAUCUCCCAUCUCCUCAGUGUGUCUAAUUGUGCUGAGCUUGGUUUAAAAUGAGAUCAACACAUUGAAACCCCAGAAGGCUUAAUUAAGGGAGGGACUUAAUAUGUACCAAAAAGGGUUUUUUUUUUUUGACAAAUGUGGCAUAAAUUUUACCUGUAACAUCCUUAUCUAAAAGCAUCCCAAAAUUGUUAAGCCCAUUAAAUUGCCUCUUUUUAAAAAAAAAAAAAAAAAAAAAAAAAAGGAGAGACAGAGAAGAGAAAAAGGAAGAAAAUAAUUUUACUUUGAAAAUCUUAAUUACUGUGAUAGCAGGGUUGGGUUGUGCCUUUUUACGAUUCCUGUAUGAUUUGCAUUUUGAGUUGAAGUUUUGUUCUUCACAGCACACAAGCCAGCAAUCAGGAGCAUAUAGAAAUGGCUUGAUAGAUUCCCCUUUUAAACAUGCUUAUAAAACAUUUUGCCUAUGUAGCUUUUUGUAUUACACAUUCCAUGGGGUUUCUCACAUACCAAUCAAGAAAGCAUAUCCCUUUUAAUUCAUUUUCUCAGAAGUUUAAAAGCUUAGAAAUAUAUAUUAAUGCAGAACAAAUAAAAUAUUUCAAAAAACUACAGCAGUAUUGUAAGGAGUUUCAUUUGAAAAGCAAAAAAUGCUGUCAUUAUUUUUAUUCUUCUUUCGUGGUCUUUAUCUGACCAUAGAAUUUGAGUGAGUAGAUCAGACUACAAUAGAGACUGCUCCAACAACUUGGAUUCCUAAUUCCCUUCCUGGUUCCUGACUAGGUUCAGAAAAAGACUCUUUCAGAAACAUCAAAUCUAGUGACAAUGAAAUUAAUCACAAUGUACAAAAGAAAAGCAGCUGGCAACCAAACACUGAAUAAAGCCAAGCGUGAAUUUAACUAGCUGUCAACCUCAAUGUAUAUAAUAUGUACACAUUAUGUACUUCUUUAUAUUCUUUAGCUAGGCACAAUCAGUAUUGAUGUAUUUUUAUUGUGUGUGUGUGUGUGUGUAUAUAUAUAUAUGGAUUUCCUAUAUUACCUCUGAAAGUUUUAAAAUUACUAUUAGUUAUUACUACUUUAGGGCUUAGUAACUGCUACUAAACACAAGUAGAAUAUCUUGCCUCUAGUUGAAGACGAGUCUCUUUAAAACUGGUCAUCACAGAUAUGCAGAUAAAUUCUAUAUCUGCUGGUUGGAACAUUUCACUUUUGAAGUAAGAUAAGUUUUAACAUAUGCCUUUGCCAAAAACUAACUCCAAGAAAUAAUUUAGGAAGAGCUAUAACGGAUGUUUUCUUCCUUCCACAUAGGAGCAUGCUCGGCACCAAAAAUAGAAAGAGAAUAUUUGAGCUUUAAGCUAAUGUCAUAGGAACUAAUGUACAUUGUAUAUGAGUAAUAAUUUCUUAAGGUCAACAUCAGUCAAUUCUUGUAUGAAAUUAUGUUCAAAUUCAUAGUUCUUCUGGUUCGUUGUGGCAUAGGGUGGUCUCUAGCUGAAACCGUUCAUUACUAUCUGCAUUAGUAAGGUCACUUGCUUGAUCUGGUUCUCUCACUUACCAACUUUGAUGCCUUGGGAAUGACUUGCAAUCCAAGCAGAUUUCUCACUGACCACUAUCUAAGUCAGUGUGUAUCAUAUGAUAUUUAAAUUAGUAGAAUACUUAGGACCAAAAGUAUUUCUUGGCAUACAGAUUUAGAGAAGUAAAAGCCACAGUCAAUUAUUUGUUCUUUUUUUUAAACCUGAAUUUCAGAACUAUUUUGAAAGGCAUAAAAAUAGAUUCUCUGUGAAAUUAGAAUACAAAAUGUUUGUUAAAAGUUUACACAGUCCAGGCCGGGAUUGGAAUUGCACUCAGUGUGUACUUUAAGGGAGUUACAGAACGCACCUAUGCAAACCAUUUUUUAAUUUCCAACCUUGUUAUCCUAUUAAAUCAAAUUUUAAAAACUUGACUUCUGUGAGCAUAGAGAACUUGAAAAUGAUACUUCGUUAUACAUACAGAGGUCAGGAAAAAUGGAAGUCCAAGUAGGAAAAACACUAGAUUCCAUUUCAUUUCAAGCACUCUUUGCUAAGCCCUCUCCUCAGUCCUGGAGGUGAAAAUAAUAAUAAAAUAUUGCCCUUGCAUUUAAAAGAUCAACAUUCUACUUGGGGGAAUAGAUAUGAGGACAGACAAGUUGGGAUAUAAUGCAGUAAGUGCCAUGAAAUAGUAUGAGCUCAGUCCUUUGAGACAACAAAUGAGGGAACUCUACUUUGCCUGGAAAAAUUGAGGCUAGUUUGAUGAAAUAGAUAAGUUAUUUCUCGAAUCAGAGAAAGUAGACAAUUAAUGAUAUUCUAUGAGUUAAAUGUGUUGCUUAUUUCAAAAGAAAAAUACAGAAAUAAGGCUAAAUGUAUAUGCCUCUACUUACAGAAUUGUGUAUAGGCAAUUCCUUUGUAACUAAUUAUAAUAGCAGAAACAAUAGCUAGCAUUUAUUACACACUUAUUAUGCACCAGGCAAUGUUCUAAAUGCUUGCAUGCAUUAUCUCUAUUGCUCCCCAUAACAAUCAUAGAUGCAUUAUUAUUAUUUGCAUUUUAUAGCUGAGGAACCCAAGGCACUGGCAGGGUAAAUGACUUGUUCAAGAUCAGGCCACAGAACUAGGAAGGAGCAGAGAGAAGAUAUGAACUGAAACAGUCUGUCUCUAGAGCCUGAUAUCAUAAGGUUUUUAUUUUCAAUAAAGUACUUCAUGAUGGACAAAUAUAAAACAUUCUAUUUUGAAUAAUAUUUUUUGUAAAAUUUUUCUUUGAUAUUUCAAAUGUUUAAAAGAGUGGCUUUCUGCCCAGAACCACUUCACUGUGUCCAUUACGAAGUUAGCUGGUUCUAAGCUCCAUAGCAAUAUAUUCUUGACAGCAAACAAGAACCUGGCUUACUUUAUUCCUCAGCUUUUGACAACCUUUAUUAUUUCAUUUAUCUGCUAUUCAUAGCGAGAUGUAAACAUCUUACUUCCCAGUGUGAUCCUCAUAUCAACAGUGGGUGAGUUUAAAAUAUUGGGAAUCAAUAUGUUAUAAAACAUCAGCCAGUACUAAAAAGGCAGACCCAGAGAAAAUUCAUUGAAUGUCAAAUAAAAAAUAAACAUCAACAGUUAAAAAUGUAAUAAGAUAAUAAAUAAAGGCAGGGAAUUAAAAAAAUUUCUUAACCCCAAAAGCAAUUUGACAAGUAAGAUAUACCUGUGUUAAACACAAAGCCACUUACAGUACAGGGAGCAAUGAAUUUUUCAUGCAGGUAAACAGAACAAUUCUUUUCUAAAUUUAAUAGACAGAAUACAUGACAUUAGUGCCAUUGAUAGUAGGGUUGGGGACUCAGAAAGAGAGAGAACACUACAGUCUCUGUGAAAACAUUAGUUAGCACAGGCUCUACAUAUUUUAUUGAUUUAUGUAGACACUUAAGACUAAACGUUUUUAGACUGAGGAUCUCCUUUUCAUCCCAGAUACGUAUGCAUAUAUUUCUCAUGUGCAGGUACUCAGCUCUGCUAUAUACUUCUAACUCUCAGGCCCUCUUAUCCCUCUCCUCCAAACUUGCACAAUCUGAUCCUACGGUCAGUCAGUCAGUCUGCAUUUGCCUGUGAGACAUCUUUUUAUUGACCUGUCAUUGAAUCCACACUUCUAUAGAAAGCCCUAUAAGAACUGAGAGAGAAGUAGGGCAUUGCAUUCCUUUUGGGAUGUUUAAAAUUUAAUGUGCAACAGCUAACAAUCAAAAAGAAACAAAUAAUAGUCUUGAAACUUGUUGCCUAGAUAAAAUAGAUAGGAAGACAAUCGUCUAGGAGGAGAUGUGAUUGGGGUCUUGCAGUCCUUUCAAUUCACCCAGUGAAAACAUGCACUACCUACCAUACUUUCACAAACACUGGAACUUAACAAAUAUUUUCUUCCUCCAUUGCUGUUGCUUUUAGGAGUGGCACAUAUCUCCAAAGAGCCACAGCCUUCCAGGUGGGCACCUCCUUUCCCCAGCUUCUCUUCCUUCUGACCGUCUGACUUGGAACCACAUGAGUAACUGACACAUCCUAUGGUCACAUGGACAGUGCCCUAUGAACAGCUCUCUGUUGACCAACAAAAAGAUGCUUCGUUUAUAGAUGGCAUUUUCAAGGUGGAAACACAGCAUCCUAUUUGGAAGACUGCUGCACUAAGACCAGCAUAUGAAAUGACUGAUUGAAGAAGGUGUCAGCAUCACUGCUCUGCUAUCCUUUAAGAGGCAGAUUUCCUGGUCGUACAUGGUCUUUAGUGAUUUGCAGGAAGAAUUUCAACUCACUUCACUGCCAGUUG